Sorex araneus (European shrew) is the source of this 109-nucleotide small nuclear RNA. NCBI's taxonomy places the organism in Eukaryota, Metazoa, Chordata, Mammalia, Eulipotyphla, Soricidae. The record is from Ensembl.
GUCCUCAGUUCAGCAGCACAUAUAAUAAAAUUGGAACUACACAGAGAAGAUUAGCAUGGUCCCUGCACAAAGAUGACACGCUCCAGCCAACAAUACAAAAUAAAUUAUU